AAAGUCUUAGUUAAAUAAUAACAUUAAUUUGUCAAAUUAAAAUCACUAUAAAUAGUAGGCUUUU
This 64-nucleotide transfer RNA is filed under the name Cryptocephalus sp. CRY01. Its description in RNAcentral is "tRNA-Asp". The record is from RNAcentral. Lineage: Eukaryota; Metazoa; Arthropoda; Insecta; Coleoptera; Chrysomelidae.